GUACGCUGGCGGCACGCCUAACACAUGCAAGUCGAACGAAGUAGCAAUACUUAGUGGCAGACGGGUGAGUAACAUGUAGGUAUCUGCCCUUUGGCCUGGAAUAACACGAGGAAACUUGUGCUAAUACCGGAUAAGUCUUUACGGAGAAAGCUUUAUGCACCAUUGGAUGAGCCUGCACUUGAUUAGUUUGUUGGUGGGGUAAUGGCCUACCAAGACUGUGAUCAAUAGCUGAUUUGAGAGGAUGAUCAGCCACAUUGGGACUGAGACACGGCCCAAACUCCUACGGGAGGCAGCAGUGGGGAAUCUU
This 307-nucleotide ribosomal RNA is filed under the name uncultured Alphaproteobacteria bacterium. Its description in RNAcentral is "bacterial SSU rRNA". It matches the Rfam family "Bacterial small subunit ribosomal RNA", at positions 31 to 365 of the family's 1533-position model. Lineage: Bacteria; Pseudomonadati; Pseudomonadota; Alphaproteobacteria. The record is from RNAcentral.